UACGUAGGGUGCGAGCGUUGUCCGGAAUUAUUGGGCGUAAAGAGCUCGUAGGCGGUGUGUCACGUCGGCCGUGAAAACCUGCAGCUUAACUGUGGGCGUGCGGUCGAUACGGGCAUCACUGGAGUUCGGCAGGGGAGACUGGAAUUCCUGGUGUAGCGGUGAAAUGCGCAGAUAUCAGGAGGAACACCAAUAGCGAAGGCAGCUCGCUGGGACGUUACUGACGCUGAGGCGCGAAAGCGUGGGGAGCGAACAGG
Molecule: ribosomal RNA, 254 nt
Filed under: uncultured bacterium
Lineage: Bacteria
Description: partial 16S ribosomal RNA
Rfam family: Bacterial small subunit ribosomal RNA
Source: RNAcentral